AGCUCUGGUGUGAGGUUCCCAAUGUUAAUCCAAGUCUCUGCCAACAAUGUCCUUUCUCACUGUGUCCCUGAUCUCCAUCCUCUGGCCCUGUCUGUCACUGGGAGGUUUGGUGACUCAGGGACCGCGGACAGUCACAGCCAGAGAGGGGGAGACAGUGAGUUUGAAUUGUCACCAGAAUAACAAAGACUAUUUUAUAAUGCUCUGGUACCUCCAACCCCAUCAGGGAGGCCUCACAUUGAUCGGGUAUAACCAAGCCUCAACAGUAUAUGAGGACAAGUUUAAAUCCGGCUACAACAUGACCAAGACACCGGACAGAAUGAACUCCACCCUGGAGAUCACCAACAUGAACCCAACCCAGGAGGGGGUGUAUUACUGCGCUUCACCAACACCAGUGCUCAACUUUCCCUGA
Molecule: non-coding RNA, 409 nt
Organism: Callorhinchus milii (elephant shark)
Lineage: Eukaryota; Metazoa; Chordata; Chondrichthyes; Chimaeriformes; Callorhinchidae
Source: the annotation of a RefSeq genome assembly